This 643-nucleotide ribosomal RNA is filed under the name uncultured bacterium. RNAcentral describes it as "bacterial SSU rRNA". It matches the Rfam family "Bacterial small subunit ribosomal RNA", at positions 232 to 885 of the family's 1533-position model. The record is from RNAcentral.
CGCGGCCUAUCAGCUUGUUGGUGAGGUAAUGGCUCACCAAGGCUUCGACGGGUAGCCGGCCCGAGAGGGCGACCGGCCACACUGGGACUGAGAUACGGCCCAGACUCCUACGGGAGGCAGCAGUGGGGAAUAUUGCACAAUGGGCGCAAGCCUGAUGCAGCAACGCCGCGUGCGGGAUGACGGCCUUCGGGUUGUAAACCGCUUUCAGUAGGGACGAAGCUAACGUGACGGUACCUACAGAAGAAGGACCGGCUAACUACGUGCCAGCAGCCGCGGUGAUACGUAGGGUCCGAGCGUUGUCCGGAAUUAUUGGGCGUAAAGGGCUUGUAGGCGGUCCGUCGCGUCAGGAGUGAAAACUCGGGGCUUAACCCCGAGCCUGCUUUUGAUACGGGCGGACUAGAGGGAUGCAGGGGAGAACGGAAUUCCUGGUGGAGCGGUGGAAUGCGCAGAUAUCAGGAGGAACACCGGUGGCGAAGGCGGUUCUCUGGGCAUCACCUGACGCUGAGAAGCGAAAGCGUGGGGAGCAAACAGGCUUAGAUACCCUGGUAGUCCACGCCGUAAACGGUGGGCACUAGGUGUGGGGGACAUUCCACGUUCCCCGUGCCGAAGCUAACGCAUUAAGUGCCCCGCCUGGGGAGUACGG